This 252-nucleotide ribosomal RNA is filed under the name uncultured bacterium. Its description in RNAcentral is "partial 16S ribosomal RNA". It matches the Rfam family "Bacterial small subunit ribosomal RNA", at positions 524 to 776 of the family's 1533-position model. The record is from RNAcentral.
UACAGAGGUCUCGAGCGUUGUUCGGAUUCAUUGGGCGUAAAGGGUGCGUAGGUGGCGUGGUAAGUCAGAUGUGAAAGCCCCGGGCUCAACCUGGGAAUUGCAUUUGAGACUGCGUAGCUAGGGUGCGGAAGAGGGAAGCGGAAUUUCCGGUGUAGCGGUGAAAUGCGUAGAUAUCGGAAGGAACACCAGUGGCGAAAGCGGCUUCCUGGUCCAGCACCGACGUCAGGCACGAAAGCGUGGGGAGCAAACAGG